ACAAUUUCAAGCAAGCCAAAGCCUCCGUUGUUCCUUGACUAGACAAAGGGAUUUAGUUCAUCCCUUGUCUACUCCUAUCGAAAAGAAAAGAAAAGUAACAACUCCAGAUGAAAGGAAAAGUCAAAAGCUCCUCCAUCCAAGCAGUGCUCCUGACUUGCGCAGGAGCAACUACCAAAAGACGGAAAACGGCCAAGUCAAAGUGUAAAGCCACGAAUCCCUAAAGUAGUGCUAAUUCCCCCUUUUUACAUACGAGAAUUGAAAAUUAAGCCAAAAGCCCACAAGAGAAAAGUCAACAAAAGCAAUCCAAAAGUGACCCUUCUCUGCGGCGGCCCACCAGCAAGAAGAAAACCCUCCAGCCGUCCUAGCCUUUGCGGUAAUUACCAAAUUGGGUUCCAGUAUUCCUUUUCCAAAAAUGCCCCUGGGAUAAUCUCUAUUACUUGGACUCUUUUCUUGUUAAAUUGGCACUUGUUAUCAUAUCUUCGUUCUACUCCCUGAAAUAAAUGUAAAAUAUCAAAAGUGAGUAGAAUCUAACAAUUAAUCCACAUUAGGUCAGAUAAUAGGGGAAAUUAAUAAUAAAAUAAAUUAUAAAAUUGCAACCUAUCACUUCUAAAGUUCUAGUUGGAUGGAGAAUUUGUAUUGAUUAUAGAAAAUUCAAUGCGACUACUAGAAAAGAUCAUUUUUUUUCUUCUUUUUGUUGAUCAAAUUAUAGAAAGAUUGGCGGGAUAUGACUUUUAUUAUUUUUUGGAUAGUUUUUCAGGAUAUAAUCAAAUAGUCAUUGCACCAGACGAUCAAGAGAAAACCACAUUUAUUUGUCCUUACAGCACCUUUGCAUUUCGAAAAAUGCCAUUUGGAUCGUGCAAUGCAUCUACCACUUUCCAACGAUGCAUGAUGGUAAUUUUUUUCGAUUGUAAUGAGAAAAUCAUGAAAAUUUUUAUGUAUGACUUCUCUGUAUUUGGAUCUACUUAUAAUCAUUGUCUUAACAAUUUAGAUCUAAUUUUGUAGAGAUGUGAAGAGACAAAUCUUGUACUCAAUUGGGAAAAAUGUCACUUCAUGGUUUGUGAGAGUAUUGUUCUAGGCCAUAAAAUUUCUUCAAAAGGUGUCAAAGUGGAUCAAGCAAAAGUGGAAGUGAUUGAGAGAAUACCUCCACCAACCAAUGUGAAAGGCAUUCGAAACUUUCUUGGACAUGCGGGGUUCUAUCAGCGAUUUAUAAGGGUUUUUCCAAACUUGCUAGGCCUCUAUGUGAUUUACUUGCCAAAGAUGUUCCUUUUCAUUUUAAUGAUGAAUGUCUAUUUGCUUUUAAUAGGUUGAAGAAGGAACUUGUUUUCGUACCCAUAAUAAUAUCACCAAAUUGAAGUUUACCGUUUUAAUUGAUGUGUGAAACUAGUAAUUUUGCAGUAGGAGCUGUUCUUGGACAAAAGUAUGAUAAGAGAUUUCAUGUCAUUUACUAUGCAAGUAAAAUGCUUAAUGAGAUUCAAAUCAAUUAUGCGGCAACAAAAAAAGAGUUACUUGCAGUGAUAUUUGCAUUAGAUAAAUUUAGAUCUUAUCUAGUAGGAUCUAAAGUCAUUGUCUACACCGAUCAUGCGGCUCUUAAAUAUCUUUUAAAUAAGAAAAAUGCAAAGUCUCGACUAAUUCGAUGGAUUUUAUUAUUGCAGAAAUUUGAUUUGGAAAUCAAAAAUAAAAAGGGAUCUAAGAAUCUAGUUGUAGAUCAUCUUUCUAGAUUGAAGAACACCUCACAAGAAGACCAAAUUCCUAUUAAAGAAGAGUUUCCAGAUGAGUUCUUAUUGGCUGUUCAAAAGUCACCAUGGUAUGCCGAUUUAGUCAAUUUUGUGGUUAGUGAAUUGCUAUCAAGUGAUUUAAAUAGCAUCUCAGCUUCAAAUACAUGUUAUUAUCAAAUACAUAUUAAUCUACUUCAUUAUUACAGGGUACCCUUGACUGCAAAGCAAUAGAGGAAAGCAUUAACAGCUCCAUGAUUGUUUGCUUCGUCAAAAAGACCAAACAAUCAUAUGCAAUGACGGAGCCAAAGGGGCUUAUGGGGGCCAUAGCCCCCCAAGUUUUGAAAAUUUUCAUUUAUAGUAUGUAAAUAUAUAUGUGUAAAACAAAGUUGACCCGCCCUAAUUCUUUACAAUUUUAGUUUAUAUUAUGAGAGUUUAUAUAUAUAUAUAUAUGUGUGUGUGUGUGUGUGUGUAUGAAUUAGCUACCUUUGAAUUAAUUUUUCUUCAAAAAAUUUAUUUAUUUUUUAUAUGCCUUUAUAAUUAAAGUUAAUAUUUGAUGUUUUUAAAUGUCAUAUAUUUAAAUGGAUGGAAAUUAUUUUGAACAUAGUAUAUUAAAAAAUUUUUGUUAGAAAAAUUUUGGCUCCCCUAGGAAAAAAAAAUCCUAGCUCCGUCGCUACCAUAUCCAUCAUCCUCACUGAAAAGUAUACAACUAUUAUAGCGCACAAGCUGAACUUGGGAGAAAUUGAAACCAGAGGACUGCCACAAAUAUAUUCUGAUGCUAAGAGUUCAAGAGCAGCAGAAACAGCAACAAUGCAUGCUAAGUUGACAACAGUACCAACUGAAAACACUACAACUUCAUCUGGAGGUCAUGACAACAAACUUGAGACAGAACUCCUCACUACACUGAAAAUAACAAAAAUCCCUACCAAGAAACAAAAGACCACUGCUGAAAAAGUGAAGGAAAAAGACGACAUGGCCAAACAGAAUUAAUAGCCACUAAUUCCUUCACCUUUUUGCCAGCCAGCACACUUUUGCAGAUUCAAUGAUCUAAACUCCAGCUCUUAAGCCAUAGUUUUUGCAAUGUAUAUUUUGGAGAUUCACUGAUGUCCACUGAGGUUCUUAACUGCCAACUUUUGACAUCUGCGAACAAUAGAUGUAAAACACUUUUGCUAUCAUAACAAUGCCAUCCUAUUAACCAACACUCAAAUGUUGUUACCUUCCCAAAUUCACUCAUCUCAACUACGCCUCUUCUAACAUUAUGAAUUUCCUCAUUCUUAUUAAAUGUUUCCUGAUUCUUAUUAAAUAUAAUCCAAAACUUUCCUCCUCAAUUUCUUAACAAAAUCAACCUUUACAUAUAUGCACAGGCACCACCGCCCGCGCAUCGCCCAGAUACCACCCCAAGAGUAGAGAUAUGAUGAUCCCUCGACCUAGGUUCAAUUCUUUCAAUGAACUGAGUACAACUUCCUUGUUUGGAUGAUUGGGAUUUCUUGCUAAAUGAUUUUGAAAAAAUCUCUUAAGCAGUCCUCCACCAUGCACCUUUGCGUCUAAGAAAUGCACUUAUUUAGUAAGUGCUACAAUAACAUUCAAAAAACACGUUUAAAAUACAAAUUUCAAGAUGGAUAGUUUAAGAUCGGCUUUUGUAUUAGGAAAAAACGUAUUAGAAAUUUUCAAGUCCGUAGGGUACAGUUGGAGGGGAAGAAAGGAAUUUGGCAAAGUUUAGCUCAAAGAGAAGCUUGCUCGUAAACUAUUUUAAUAAUAAACUUUUGAUCCCUCAUCUAUUUCAUGUAUCAAUUUAUCCCUUGAACAUUAAAAGGCACCAAAGUCAAAUACUUUGGUUCAUUCAUUACUAUUGUUAUAGCAGACAGAAUGAACAAUAUUUUUGUCCGCUAGAAAUGAAGACAUAACCCCAGUCAAACUCACAAAAUAUAACCCAAGUCAAGCUAGGUAUUUUUUUGCAAAUAUCAUAUCAAUAAGGCAAAAUGGCCAAUUUCAUCCUUAAACUUUGUUGUGAGUGCCAAUUUAGCCCCUAACUUUUAUUUCUAAUCAAUUUGAUACCUGACCUUAUUUUGCAGUUUCAAUUAAGGACUUCUGCGGUGGCACCACUACCAAAAACCAAUCUGGCUCCUAAUUGACUAAUUAACUAAUGGUAUUAUAGGAAUGUCAUUCACAAGACCGUAACAAAACAAAUAAAUUGUAUAAAAAAUCAUUAGAUAAAAGUUUUAAAUUGUGUAAAAAAUCGCAAGAUAAAACUUUUUUAAAGUUUAAUCUUGUUAUUUUUUACACGAUUUACUUGAUUUAUAAUAAUCUAAUGAGUGACGUUCUCAAAGUACCCUUAUUUAGUUGGUCAAUUAGGAGUCAGAUCGGUUUUAGGUGAUGGCACCACCACGAAAGUCCUUAAUUGGAACCGCAAUGUAAGUUCACAAAUCAAUUCAUCUAAGAAUAAAAGUUAGGGGUUGAAUCAAUACUAGGGAAAAGGUUUAUGGAUGAAUUGACUAUUUUCCCUAUCAAGAAAGACUUUUAGGGAAUUUUGACAAAAUAAUAAUUAAUUAGGAUAAUUGCACAUAGGUCUGUCAAUUAGGCCAUCUGAAUCGGACUUUAACAAGAUUAGAUUCGAUUCAUACAGUUAGUACCACUUUUGAGUUUUCGAUUAUAAGUUUCGAGUUGAUAAAUGUGAAUCUCAUAUUUGACUUAUAAAAUAUUCAAGUUGUGAGUCUAAUUCGAGUUUAGUUCAAACUCACUUAUUGCUCAUUAAUUUCCUUAAUAUAAGUACUAUAACUAUUAAGUUCUAAAGCUAAUUUAACAUCCACAAGACCACAACAUUAAAACUAUACACAAACCAGUAACAGUUCAUUAAAAAAUAUAUAAGCCAAGAAUUUUCAACAAUAAUAUAGCCAAUUAGUUCAAAGUAUAUGGAAAAUAGUAAUAAAAACAUGGUCAACAGUCAAUACAUCUUCAAAGGUCCUCAAUUUGCUUAUCCCAAGAUUUGUCCUUCUAAAUCUUUUGAUAUAAUUUUGUAUAUUUAAUAUUUCAUAUAUAUAUUAAUAUAUUUUGACGCAUAACUCAUAAGUAUAAAGUAUUAUUAUUAUAUAUUUAGAUAUAUAAUUAUAUAUCAAAAUAUGAAUAUAUUGUAUAUAAUUAUAUAUAUAGAUGCAAAUUAAAGAGUCGGACCUAUAUUGUAUUUGAGUCUAAUAAGAUCUAAACUUAGCUCACAUUUAAUUCGAACCUAAUAUUUAGGUCCAAAGUAAGCCUAAUUCAAUGAAAGAUUAUGCUCAUCGAACUUUUUUUGGGGCCAAACAAGUUGAGAUCGAAUUGGCCUAACCCCAUUAAAAGUCCUAACUGCAUAUAUAUAUGUUUGUCCUCUAUAUAUAUAUGAUGAUCUCUCGACCUAGGUUCAAUUUUUUCAAUGAAAUGCUUUUUUGCUCUUUUCAUUAUAUAUUAAGUGCAUUUCAUGAACUUAGUACAACUUCCUUGUUUGGAUGAUUGGGAUUUCUUGCUAACUCAUUUUGAAAACAUCUCUUAAGAGUCCUCCACCAUGCUCCUUUAUAUCUUAGAAACACACUUAUUAGAAAGUGCUACACUAACUCUUUUUUUAAAAAAAAAACGCUUAAAAUACUUACAAGACGGAUAGUUUAAGAUUGGCUUUUGUACUAGGAACAAUGUACUAGAAAAUUUUCUAGUCCUUAGAGUACAGUGGAAGGCGAAUAAAGGAAUUUGACAAAAUUUAGCUCAAGAAGAAGUUGGCCCUAAACUCGUUUAAUAGUAAACUUUUGACCCCUCAUCUAUUUCAUAUAUCAAUUUGGCCCUUGAACAUUAAAAAGCAUCAAAUUCAAAUAUUUUUCUUCAUUUAUUGCUAUUGUUAGAGCAAAUGGAAUUAAUGAUAUUUUUGUCCAUAUAUAAAUCAAAUAAUCAAGACUUAAUAAGAGUAGUAGUAGAUCAUCAUCUUCCUCAAAUACCUCUCAAAUUAGGACUUCUUGGCUCUUGAUUUCCAAAGAAGAAGAUGGAUCAAGAGCGAGACAGUUCCAGGAGAGAACCUAACACCUCUUGUCUACCAAUGUGGGUUGAGAAGCAUUAUAGGGACUUCAUGGACAAGUUGGAACCCUAGCCGGAAACCUGCAAAAUAUCCUUUGCUUUGGGUAUGAUUGGUGAAAAUGGUUGAAUUUGAAUUGGAAAUGGAAAUUUGACAUUCAUAGCAAUGUACUCUUUUCUAGGGCCAAGGAUGCAAAUUUUGGUAGUGGUUGAAUGAAGAAAUUUGUCAUUGUUCAGUUGAAAUCAUACAUGGUGUAUUUCAAAGACUUGACAAUAGAAAAUCAAGUACAAUUUGCUGAAGAUUAUGCAAAUAGAUGAGAGCGUAGAGCACGAAUGGAGGCAAAAGUUCAUUGUAUGGAAGUUGAUGUU
Molecule: long non-coding RNA, 6107 nt
Filed under: Coffea arabica (coffee)
Lineage: Eukaryota; Viridiplantae; Streptophyta; Magnoliopsida; Gentianales; Rubiaceae
Description: long non-coding RNA (CARA_LNC002513)
Source: RNAcentral